GCUGGAAGAAAAUGUUGAAAGUAAAAUAUCUAAUACAAUUACUUCCCAAUUCUGUAGAUCCCCCAUACUGGGCCUCAAGGAUACAGGUAAGAACAGGUGGAUAUUGAGACAAACACAAACACACAAGUAAAUGGGGAAAAGAUAACUACAGAGAGCUAAAACAUAACUAUUUAAUGAUUUGACUAACAUUAUUAACAGUACAGAUUGUUAACUCACUCACUACAUUUUGAGUUUGGUAUGAAGAAUUUAGAAUGAGAACAAUUCUAUAAGGGAAUUAAAAACUAUCACAACUGAAAACUCAUAAAGUAGUCCAUACAAGACAGUAUGAUACCAAAGUUAAUUUGUAUCAGAAUGAAAUAUCACUGAACACAUCUGCUAGUUUCAUAGAACAAGAAAAGUACUACAGCUGUGAGUUCAUUUUUACUACCAAGUUGUUAUUUCUAAAUUAAGCACACAAAUAUCAAACCAGGUUUCAUGUUUGACUCUAACACACAAGACAGCGUGAUAGAAUUCUGUAGAUCCCAAGGACGUACAAGAGCCUGCACAGACUUAUAAAGGCAAAAACAACUCAAAGACUCAAGUCAUGUUUCAACAAUACUGCUUAAUACCAGCAUAUUAAGAAUGACUACACAGAGUUAAGAGUAGAAACAAAAUGGGUAUAGCAUGGCCCAAAAUCAACUAUAUAAAAUAUAUAUAGAUAUGUAGCAUUUUCAGAAAUACAAACCUGCAAUAAAAAUAAGCUGUUCACACACAAAUAUUGCAAUUGAAUAAAUGUCUAAGUUUGGUUUUUAAAGGAAAAACUAGACUGCUUUAAAUAGUAGGUGAAACAGGCUGUCACACCAACAUUUUUGAUCUGCAAAGCCAUCCUAUACAUUUUAACUAGAUUUAAGUUGCAAACAAACAGUGUUCAAAAGACUCACUACUAAGAAAAUGUAUGGCCUCUUGUAGGCUCAGUAUAUCUUUAUUACUUAUAUGACACUGCUGUAGUACUGUUUCAUUUAGUUUUUACCUUUGUGUUAUCCUGUUAUCAUAAAACGUCAAUGACAUAACUGCAUAUCUGUUGACAUGUUUUGCAAAAACCUUUUCUAGAGACAGAUCAACUUGUACAUGUUAUCUAAAACAGUACUUCUUGAUGCAUUUACUAAAAACUUUGGUACCUGCUUGUGAAUGAAAAUGCAUAAAAAUACACUGACAUUUGUGUGAGCUGUGAUAAAUCCAAAAUAGAAUCAUGCAAACUACCAUAACUAAUUAUAAUGGAAUGAUCAGUAUAUCUACCUGCCAAGACUUUUCUCCUCAGCUACUGCUUUUUGGUAUCUCACCAACUGGCUUAAACUAUCUUGGCCUCAGAAUCCAUGUUCUGCCAGUCUAAAUCAAAUGUCUUAUUUCUUCCCAUUUAAUGUGUCAUUACAGUUUUGUAUUAAUUUGUCUGAUAAAUUUUAAAAGACUAUAUAAAUUACUUUUUCUGGAAAGGAAUAAUCAUAUAUAAGGAGGAGGUUGAACAUGUGCAAAAGGACGUGAUAGACCAGGAAGAGAUAUCAACGGUACCCCAGUCAAUUACCUGGCAACAAAAGUAUGUAUAUCAGGUCCUCAUCGCCUCUCUCUUUUGACUAGCCCAUUUUAGUCAAUCACAGUUCUGAACUGAACAUCCUGUUCACUGGAAACAACAAAGAUUUAUAUGAAAUGCAUAAUUAUUUGAAGAGAAUAUCUACAUUGGGAGUGGAUGAAUGAUUCUAACAUAUCAAAUCCAGAGAUGCCACAGAAUUACCUGCUCUGGCAGAGGAUAAGUAAGGAGGCAAUGUAAUAUAAAAAUACACAAUGGACUAUUGUGGAACCAUACCAUUUUUUUCUUCAUGAGGCAUUUUUUUCUUCCCAAAUUGCAUCACACAAUUUGGAACUUUCUACAAAUAAACAUCAUUCUCUGUGUGCUAAAUACUUUUAAAAAGAAAAGUAUAGGCAGUUCCUAAGCUUCAGUGGACAUUGCACAGAGAACAGAUGAAACCCUUUUUCAGUCUGCCUUUUUCACGCAGCUGGGAUUGAGUGGAGAGAAUGACUGGGACCAUGCCUCACCGACUCCAACUUUCCCAUAUAAAAUGUUGCAAGGCAGGCAAUGGCAGAUGUUUUAGGAAUGCACAAUUGCAAUUACAACAGAAAAUACUGCUUGAGUUACUCAUACCCUGUUCUCCUGUUUUUGUAUAAGUGCUAAUUAAAAAUUGAGGGUUUAAUUUUGACCUUUUUUUGUGGAUACAUGACAUACCAACACACUAACACAAAUGCAUUAGUUCAGUAAGAAAAUAAGAAUAUUAAAAUAUCUCCUGUCUAAAAAGCCAUUUGCUAUAAAACAAGGAGCAACAUACCAACUGCAAGAGGUCAUUUUCAGUUUUUGGCAGAGUAGCCACAUUUACAUAUUAAAUAUAUUUUUUUAAAGGCAGCAUCACAUAAAAAUGCAUAACCAUCUAAAGAAAUUAAGAGUAUCAAAUAUGUAUAUUUGCAGACACAUGUAGCUGAUCUAAUCACACUUGCAUAAAAGAAGACACUCUUUUCAUCCCAAAGUUGAGGUCCACUAAACAAAUUGCAUAUAAAAAAAUAUUUACCAAAAAGAAGGCGACUGUCAGAAUUUCAACAUGUAUGAAAAAACUAAAGACAAGUGCUUGGAUCCAGGUACAGCUAUUUAUGUAUAGAAGUAUGUUUAAGCUUAUUUACUCUCAGCUGCUUAUUCUGUGAUCUGUAAGCUGAAAAAUUCUACCUUGGCUGUAUCACAGAUUAUCGGAUUUGAGGCAGAGGAACUGUCCUCCAUACCAAAGCAGUUCUUCAAUUUUGUCUUCCAAUCUGGAGAAAAUGACUACAAAAAAGCCAGCUGUUUUUACAAAUAUACACUCUGCUUAGUAUGAUAAAUUGUAAAGAUAAUGUUUGCAUACCUGAAAAAUUCAAAGUUGAGACAAGCUUUGGGUAAGAAAAAUUUAUCAUCUUGCUUGAACCACAGUUUGCUCAUAGCAGUGUCCUGCAUUUAAAAAUAACACAUAUUUCUACAUUAAACACUGUAUUUUUAAUCAUAUUUUAAUAUUCUUCUUAAUGACAAAGGUACAACAUCUACACAGGUGGAAUACCCAAAAGCUCAACAGAGGCCUUUUUCCUUCUCUUACAACUCAAGUGUAGACACCUGAAGAACAGAUAUAAAGGGAUGUUUGGAACUCCUAUUCAUAUAUGGGGCCACUGUGGUACUAUUUCUCUAAAAUCAUGCAUCCCCUAUAAUCUAAGCUUAAGAAUGGAAGACUAGUUGUCAACAGCAAAAGUGAUGAUGGACUCCAAAUCCUUGUCCAAAUCUAUGUCCAAAUUUGCAACAGGCUGAUCUUGCUUCAUUUUGUGAUGACGUAUUCUAUGGGAGUUCGUAUUUAAUCCCUGCACAUAAGGGCACUGUCUCCAUUGUUACUUAAAAUGAAAGCUUUACAUAUCUGAAUACAGUAAACUAGUCGAACUUUGAUAUGUAAGGUAAAAUUACCUUUAACAUUAGAGCUAAACGGAUUACAUUCACAUUUACCAUCUAAACUUAACAUUGUUUAUUUAUUUAUUUAUUUCAUUUAUAUACUGCUCUUCUCCCCCAGGAUACAACACUGUUCAAGUUGUAUUACAAAAGUAUUGAUCUUGCACAGUUAAUGGGAAGAGGAAUGUCCACAAAUUUUAUGAUUCGGAAGUAAUAUACUACACUAUGUAACACAAUUUUUGUUCCUGGGUUAUAAAUGUCAUUUUCUAAUUGGUUCUAUCAUAAAAACAUGGAAAGUUUCCUAAACUUCAAAAACUUUGUUUUUGCGGGACAUCCUGCAGAACAUUUUGCUAUAGGUUUUUUAAAAAUAAAUAAUGAGUCUCAUCUAAUUCAACAUAGUUUGUGGCAGACACAAAAACGAAGUUUCUAGAGUAUAACAACUACUUUCAAAAUAAGUAUUGCACAAUUAAACAGGAAAUAACAUUUUCAAACCAGAAACAGAAGUUUUCUAAUUUUGUUACAUAAUGUUAUAGUUUAUUAAUUAUGUAAAAAAAAUAUUAGAAUAUGAGAGAUAAUUCCACUGUUUUUGUGGUGUACUUAUUAAAAUUUUAUAGUGAUAACUCUCUACACAGGUUGCUGAGACAGUGACACCUUUGCUUUCUGAUAAUUCAACGUAUACUAACAUUGUUUCAGGCACAAAAUAAAAUAAAAUAUUGUGUAUAAAAUUA
Anolis carolinensis (green anole) is the source of this 4206-nucleotide long non-coding RNA. RefSeq lists it as uncharacterized. The transcript is spliced from 2 exons. Lineage: Eukaryota; Metazoa; Chordata; Lepidosauria; Squamata; Anolidae. The record is from RefSeq and is a predicted model, not a curated record.